CCUACGGGAGGCAGCAGUGAGGAAUAUUGGUCAAUGGACGAGAGUCUGAACCAGCCAAGUAGCGUGAAGGAUGACUGCCCUAUGGGUUGUAAACUUCUUUUAUAUGGGAAUAAAAUGUUCCACGUGUGGGAUUUUGUAUGUACAAUAUGAAUAAGGAUCGGCUAACUCCGUGCCAGCAGCCGCGGUAAUACGGAGGAUACGAGCGUUAUCCGGAUUUAUUGGGUUUAAAGGGAGCGUAGGUGGAUUGUUAAGUAAGUUGUGAAAGUUUGCGGCUCAACCGUAAAAGUGCAGUUGAAACUGGCAGUCUUGAGUACAGUAGAGGUGGGCGGAAUUCGUGGUGUAGCGGUGAAAUGCUUAGAUAUCACGAAGAACUCCGAUUGCGAAGGCAGUUCACUGGACUGCAACUGACACUGAGGCUCGAAAGUGUGGGUAUCAAACAGGAUUAGAUACCCCAGUAGUC
This 460-nucleotide ribosomal RNA is filed under the name uncultured bacterium. RNAcentral's name for it is "partial 16S ribosomal RNA". It matches the Rfam family "Bacterial small subunit ribosomal RNA", at positions 338 to 795 of the family's 1533-position model. The record is from RNAcentral.